This 497-nucleotide ribosomal RNA is filed under the name uncultured bacterium. RNAcentral's name for it is "partial 16S ribosomal RNA". It matches the Rfam family "Bacterial small subunit ribosomal RNA", at positions 28 to 507 of the family's 1533-position model. The record is from RNAcentral.
GAUGAACGCUGGCGGCGUGCCUAAUACAUGCAAGUCGAGCGAACGGAAGAGAAGCUUGCUUCUCUGAUGUUAGCGGCGGACGGGUGAGUAACACGUGGAUAACCUACCUAUAAGACUGGGAUAACUUCGGGAAACCGGAGCUAAUACCGGAUAAUAUUUUGAACCGCAUGGUUCAAAAGUGAAAGACGGUCUUGCUGUCACUUAUAGAUGGAUCCGCGCUGCAUUAGCUAGUUGGUAAGGUAACGGCUUACCAAGGCAACGAUGCAUAGCCGACCUGAGAGGGUGAUCGGCCACACGGGAACUGAGCCACGGUCCAUGCGCCUACGGGAGGCAGCAGUAGCGAAUCGUCCGCAAUAGGCGAAAGCCUGACGGAGCAACGCCGCGUGAGUGAUGAAGGUCUUCGGAUCGUAAAGCUCUGUUAUUAGGGAAGAACAUAUGUGUAAGUAACUGUGCACAUCUUGACGGUACCUAAUCAGAAAGCCACGGCUAACUACGUG